Non-coding RNA from Schizosaccharomyces pombe (fission yeast), 241 nucleotides. Lineage: Eukaryota; Fungi; Ascomycota; Schizosaccharomycetes; Schizosaccharomycetales; Schizosaccharomycetaceae. The record is from the annotation of a GenBank genome assembly.
AUGCGAGCUAAGGCAUCACCAUUAUUUGCCCAAAUCGUUGAAUGAACUUGCCAAAAAUCAUAACCAGCAUUUUGCCGAGUAUAUAUCAUAACUUGUUCUAAAAACACUCUUGAAACAAGAUUCUGAAUAACAUUUGUUCGGUCUAAGCAAUCCAAACAAUUGGUGCGAAAAACACCAUCUUGUACCACAAUGGAUUGUCCUUCGUUGUUCUCAAAAUAAAACCCGAAAGUUUCUGCAUCGC